GAUGAACGCUGGCGGCGUGCCUAAUACAUGCAAGUCGAGCGAACAGAUGAGGAGCUUGCUCCUCUGACGUUAGCGGCGGACGGGUGAGUAACACGUGGAUACCCUACCUAUAAGACUGGGAUAACUUCGGGAAACCGGAGCUAAUACCGGAUAAUAUAUUGAACCGCAUGGUUCAAUAGUGAAAGACGGUUUUGCUGUCACUUAUAGAUGGAUCCGCGCCGCAUUAGCUAGUUGGUAAGGUAACGGCUUACCAAGGCAACGAUGCGUAGCCGACCUGAGAGGGUGAUCGGCCACACUGGAACUGAGACACGGUCCAGACUCCUACGGGAGGCAGCAGUAGGGAAUCUUCCGCAAUGGGCGAAAGCCUGACGGAGCAACGCCGCGUGAGUGAUGAAGGUCUUCGGAUCGUAAAACUCUGUUGUUAGGGAAGAACAAAUGUGGAAGUAACUAUGCACGUCUUGACGGUACCUAAUCAGAAAGCCACGGCUAACUACGUG
This 497-nucleotide ribosomal RNA is filed under the name uncultured bacterium. RNAcentral's name for it is "partial 16S ribosomal RNA". It matches the Rfam family "Bacterial small subunit ribosomal RNA", at positions 28 to 507 of the family's 1533-position model. The record is from RNAcentral.